RNAcentral lists this ribosomal RNA (494 nucleotides) under uncultured bacterium. Its description in RNAcentral is "partial 16S ribosomal RNA". It matches the Rfam family "Bacterial small subunit ribosomal RNA", at positions 28 to 507 of the family's 1533-position model. The record is from RNAcentral.
GACGAACGCUGGCGGCGUGCUUAACACAUGCAAGUCGAGCGGAAAGGCCUGCUUUCCCUUGUGGAUUGCGGGUACUCGAGUGGCGAACGGGUGAGUAACACGUGAGUGAUCUGCCCCCAACUUGGGUAUAAGCCUGGGAAACUGGGUCUAAUUCCCGAUAGGACUGCAGGGUGGUGCCUGUGGUGGAAAACGAUUUUCUAGUGGUUGGGGAUGAGCUCGCGGCCUAUCAGCUUGUUCGUGGGGUAAUGGCCUACCAAUGCGGCGACGGGUAGCCAGCCUGAGAGGGCGGACCGGGAUAGUGGGACUGAGCUGCCACACAGAGUCUGAGGGGAGGCAGAAGCGGCGAAGAGAGGAAGAAGGGCGGAAGCCUGAUGAAUGGACGCAGCGUGGGUGAUGACGGGCUUCGUGUUGUAAACUCCUCUCAGGGUUGAGGAAGCCACCUGGUUGGAAGGGUGGUGACGGUAGUGGCAGAAGAAGCCCCGGCUAACUCCGUG